This 489-nucleotide long non-coding RNA is filed under the name Mytilus galloprovincialis (Mediterranean mussel). Lineage: Eukaryota; Metazoa; Mollusca; Bivalvia; Mytilida; Mytilidae. The record is from RNAcentral.
GUUUGCUGUGAGUCAAGGCUCUGUGUUUAAGGCCCUAUUUUGAUCUAUAAUGGUUUACUUGAAAAAUUUAUUACUUUGAUGGAAAGUUGUCUCAUUCGAACUCAUCUUCUUGUAUCUAUAAAUCUUUAAAAUUUCCCCUUAUAAAUAACUGCUUUACAGUCCUCCAAAAACGUCAUUUUGGUGCUGAAUCUUUUGUAAUUUGUGCAAUAUGAACUAGCACAUUUCUAAAGCUUUAACGGUAACGACAGUUAUGAUGGUACAAGAACGAUUACGUCAAUCCAACCAUAUGUCCCCAUUCAAAUACAUUGAUCGGCCAAAAAAAGGGUGAUUCCAAUCCCCUCCCCCCCCCCUGUAUCCACCACUGGACCUAUAUUAGAAUCUACUAGGUCGGUAGACUAUUUACUAGAUUAAUUAAAAGAGCAAAAUUAAUUAUAUUCAAGCUGUUUAAAUCAGUUGCAAUUAAUUAAAAGUUUAUGCUGUUUUACAAUC